Molecule: transfer RNA, 91 nt
Filed under: Paraphoma chrysanthemicola
Lineage: Eukaryota; Fungi; Ascomycota; Dothideomycetes; Pleosporales; Phaeosphaeriaceae
Description: tRNA-Ala
Source: RNAcentral
GGCUUGUGGUUUAGUGGUAUAAUACUCCCUUAGCAUCUCUAUCGAGAAUGACUGGGAGUGGUCCGGGGUUCGAGUAAGCUUCCCUGUACCA